RNAcentral lists this ribosomal RNA (289 nucleotides) under uncultured bacterium. RNAcentral's name for it is "partial 16S ribosomal RNA". It matches the Rfam family "Bacterial small subunit ribosomal RNA", at positions 773 to 1060 of the family's 1533-position model. The record is from RNAcentral.
GUGGAUUAGAUACCCUGGUAGUCCACGCCCUAAACUAUGUCAACUGGUUGUCGGGGAAGAAAUUCCUUGGUAACGAAGCUAACGCGUGAAGUUGACCGCCUGGGGAGUACGGCCGCAAGGUUAAAACUCAAAGGAAUUGACGGGGACCCGCACAAGCGGUGGAUUAUGUGGAUUAAUUCGAUGCAACGCGAAAAACCUUACCUACCCUUGACAUGCCAGGAACCUCGCAGAGAUGUGAGGGUGCCCGAAAGGGAACCUGGACACAGGUGCUGCAUGGUCGUCGCCAGCU